RNAcentral lists this non-coding RNA (143 nucleotides) under unclassified sequences. Its description in RNAcentral is "radC RNA". It matches the Rfam family "radC RNA". The record is from RNAcentral.
CGCAGUUCGCUGCACUGCGUUCGACUGAUGCGGCAAGUCGGUAGCCUGGGUCUGCAAGGCUACGGCGCAAUUUGCCGCGCUGACCCGCCCCGUUCGCCCCGCAUCCUCGUGCGAACAGCCACCGCCAACGCGGUGGUCGAUGC